Molecule: ribosomal RNA, 258 nt
Filed under: uncultured Acidovorax sp.
Lineage: Bacteria; Pseudomonadati; Pseudomonadota; Betaproteobacteria; Burkholderiales; Comamonadaceae
Description: partial 16S ribosomal RNA
Rfam family: Bacterial small subunit ribosomal RNA
Source: RNAcentral
UACAUUCAUUGGGCACUCUAAUGAGACUGCCGGUGACAAACCGGAGGAAGUGGGGAUGACGUCAAGUCCUCAUGGCCCUUAUAGUGGGGCUACACACGUCAUACAAUGGAUGGUACAAAGGGUCGCCAACCCGCGAGGGGGAGCCAAUCCCAUAAAGCCAUUCGUAGUCCGGAUCGCAGUCUGCAACUCGACUGCGUGAAGUCGGAAUCGCUAGUAAUCGUGGAUCAGCAUGUCACGGUGAAUACGUUCCCGGGUCUU